Molecule: long non-coding RNA, 3077 nt
Organism: Mirounga angustirostris (Northern elephant seal)
Lineage: Eukaryota; Metazoa; Chordata; Mammalia; Carnivora; Phocidae
Exons: 7
Source: RefSeq, a predicted model, not a curated record
AAAUGAAUUCAUAAGUUUUGCAACGGGUUGGCAUCAGCUCCAGGCAGCAUUUGAUAUUUGGAGUAAAGCAGCAUGAGCAGCUGCCUUGGCCCAGAGCAGAAGCUGGGACAGAAGCUCAGGACAGGACAACAGGUUCUCCUAGUUCAACAGCCAGACAUCUUUGACCGUGUCUGUAGAGCUGAGAGUAAACAUCUUAAGUUUAUAUUAAAGUCUGAUUUUCCCAUCUGAGAGACAUUCUCCUGCUUAUGGAAAAUCUUAACAAUGAGGAAGAGACUGUGGUGGACCGCCUGAACUCCUCUGAGUAAAGAAUGUAGGUUCCAGGACCCCCAAGGGACACUUGCCAGAUGUGCUCAGCACCGUCCCCAGUGCUCUUUCUCACUCUCGUCCAGCUCUGUGGCAUCUCUGCAUCUGCCAAUAGCAGCCAACAAAGGAGAAGGGCCUGCCUUGGCUGCCGUGUACCCCUCCAGACAGCAUGCAGAGACAGCGGAGAGUAUAAUAAACAGCGGAGCACGAAGUUCUUGCUCACAGUCAAGAAGGCAAGAGCUAAACAGGGAUGGAGUGGCCUCGCUUUCUCUUUGUUAAUAUUAACGAGGGUACCUUUUACAGUUAAAAACCAUAAAGAAAGCUCGUUAAGGGCAACAACAUCCCCUAGCCCACAACUCUCUCUAGAACCACAAAAUGGGUAUGUUACAGAGGCCUGGGAGCUAAUUCUCUCCAGAUGUUUGCAAAGCGAGCAAGACCAAAAGGUGGAAACUGAAAUGACUAAACACUUAAUAAGGAGCUGAUGGAACCAAGGCCCCAGGGUUGGCUCAGCAAUAAGUGAAACACAGAGACCCUGUUUGUUCAGAGGAACUUCAAAGCCCCCUAUAAACUCCUAGGAAAGGUGAGAGGCAAAAACGCUACAGAGAAUCCAGCAUUCCUGCAAAGUCAAACUGGGGACUAACUUGAGAUGCUUUUCCUGGUGCUUAAGAAGAAGACCGAGGGGCAGGUCUGGAAGAAGUCAGUAUGGAUCAUAAAUCUUAUGGCUGCACAUCCAAGUUUUCAGUCCGUUUUUCUACCCAUCGGUGUUGCUGCCUAGAAGGAGCCUCAGGCAGAAAUUCCUUCUCACCUGUGUGCCUGGGCUUGGGUUGAGAGCAAUGGUAAUGGCUGCCUUUUUAUUCUUGCUUGGGAAACCUGAGCCUGCUUGGAGCAGAGUGAUUGAAGUAAGACAAGGAGACAAACUUUUCCUGUGAGACUCAUGAUCAUUCCAGGAAAUAAAUAUUAGUGGUUCUGUCUCUAAAACAAGCAAACAGAGGCAAAGAGGGGUUGAGUCCCCUUCUCAAAGUCACACAUUCAUGUCAUUUCUUGCAGAGCAGAGGUUUUAGUCUACAUGCUUCAAUCUCCCCCUACCUCCUUCUCUUUUCUUGUGUUCUACAAAGAAGAGAAUCAGGAGCUGGGGGGAAAGAAGGCCAAGUAGGUGGGACCCAGGGCUCCUGGCUCUACAUUAAUCAGAACAUUCUCCUCUCUUUCACACAUGACGGUUCACAUAAAAUCUCCGACAAAAGACCUUGUGCCACUGAGAGACAUUGAAGACCAUUAUAAUAGACAAGCUAUUUUUCCUUUCAUUGGCAACUUGGUAUGAAGGUGACGUGAAAAAUCUGAACGUUAUCAGAAGACCUGGUUCUUAUAUAUUAGCCAUUUUCCACAUAAAUAAUGCCUGCGUCACUAAUUCAACACUAACGUAAACUGGAACAUCUGGCUCAAAGAGACUACCGAAUUUUGUGCAUGGGAGAAGCUAUUACAAAUUUGCUAAUACCAUCAAAACUUGUAAAGUGAUAAAAUGAGACUACAUGAAGAAAAGGCAGUCAUCCCAAGCAUGAGGCAUGCUAAUAGCUGUGAAUAUAUAUGAGAGCAGAGAAUUACGCUGAAAAUCAGUGAAGAGAUCCGGCUGUUUUACGGGCGUGCGUCAUGGUGACCAGAGGACUCUCCUGGUUCUUGCCCUGUUGGAGUGAUCUCCAAAGUGGAGACACACACGAUGAUUAGAACUUCUUUUUGCAUUUGUUUUUAUUUCUUCUAUUAAAAAGAAGACUCUUUUUGUGUGAUUUUUAUAAUGUCCUUAAUAUAUUAGUAGAGAAGUACACAAAUGUAAUUUAAAAUAAGUAUAUACCUAUCUUCACUACCCAAACUCUUGCUUUCUGAACACAAGAGUCAAAUCAAUUCAGCUAAAUUUUAGGGUGAAUUUUUUGCUAUCCAAACUCGGACUACUUGCUCUUGGGAACUCGGGGGCCAAAUAGGUUUGGAUAAGUUUGUAUUCCUCGCCAUUCAAAUACUUUAUCCUAACUAAGGAACCAAUAUUUGGAUAAUGAAGGACAGUUGUGUGUAAUCAUGCAGGCGCCAGGUUUUGUUUUUUAACUGAGAUUCACUAUGAAAAGAAUUCAGGAGAUCCCAUUGCUGAUGACCAUGUUGCUACGUCUGACUUUAAGUCACAGGCCGACAGGGCUCGCAAAACCGAGGUCAUCUCUGAUAAUCCCAGACCAAAUAAAACGCUCCUUUCAUGCCCCUGUGUAGAGUGAAGCUGUAUCUUUCUCAAGGAUUAGGUUCUGAUAUCAGUGUGUAAGGUGAAAGUUUCACGUAGUCAAAAUUGUCCUUGAGAAUCCCUUAGGAAAAUACCGUUUCAGAGGUUGGUGUACUGUCUAUCAGUAAGUCCGAUGUGGUCAGGUUUUGCUUUAGUUUGGAGGCAGGGGGGAAAUCACUAUUUCUUAAUUGAACCCCAGUGAAAUACUGAGUUGUACUUUGUGGCCAUGUGGUACCAGAAAUUCCUAUCUCUAAACAUUAGAAUCAAACUCAGUGCAGCUACAAAUUCUGUGAGAGGCUGUGGAGAAGACAGGUCUUUGAGAAUGAGCCAACUCUAGGCCCCCUCUCACACUCCCCCUGGGCUAGACGUGUUGAGUACAAUGAGUGCAAUCCCCCCCACUGCUGCAAUGGAAGUCAACCGAAUGUGGUGAUGGUUGCCUAACUCUGAAUAUACUAAAAACCAUUGAAUUGUACACUUUAAAUGGGUGAAUUGCACAUAUGUAAAUUAUAUCUCAAUAAAGCUG